UGAAUACGAGACGCUAAGGCGUCGAAGUAGUGUAUGUCAUACUUCCAAGAAAAGCUUGCACUGUCAUAGAUAAAAAACGCCUGUACCAUAACCGACACAGGUGGGUAGGUAGAGUAUACUAAGGGGCGCGAGAUAACUCUCUCUAAGGAACUCGGCAAAAUAACUCCGUAACUUCGGGAGAAGGAGUGCCUUAUUCGUAAGGUUGCAAUAACAAGAUCCGAGCAACUGUUUAUCAAAAACACAGGUCUCCGCUAAGUCGUAAGACGAUGUAUGGGGGCUGACGCCUGCCCAGUGCCAGAAGGUUAAAGAAGUUGGUUAGCAAUUGCGAAGCUGAUAACUGAAGCCCUGGUGAACGGCGGCCGUAACUAUAACGGUCCUAAGGUAGCGAAAUUCCUUGUCGGGUAAGUUCCGACCCGCACGAAAGGCGUAAUGAUUUGGAUACUGUCUCGGAGAGGGGCUCGGUGAAAUAGACUUGUCUGUGAAGAUGCGGACUACCUGCACCAGGACAGAAAGACCCUAUGAAGCUUUACUGUAACUUGAAAUUGAAAUUGGACUUUAUUCGCGCAGUAUAGGUGGGAGGCGUUGAUUAUAAUCUUGUGGGAUUAUUGGAGCCAUCAGUGAGAUACCACUCUUGUAAUGUUAGAUUUCUAACUUUGAAUCAUUAUCUGGUCAAAGAACAGUUUCAGGCGGGCAGUUUGACUGGGGCGGUCGCCUCCUAAACGGUAACGGAGGCGUACAAAGGUUUCCUCUGAACGGUUAGAAAUCGUAUCUAGAGUGUAAAGGCAUAAGGAAGCUUGACUGUGAGACCUACAAGUCGAGCAGGGACGAAAGUCGGUCUUAGUGAUCUGACGGUACUGAGUGGAAAGGCCGUCACUCAACGGAUAAAAGUUACUCUAAGGAUAACAGGCUGAUCUCCCCCAAGAGUUCACAUCGACGGGGAGGUUUGGCACCUCGAUGUCGGCUCAUCGCAUCCUGGGGCGGUAGUACGUCCCAAGGGUUGGGCUGUUCGCCCAUGAAAGCGGUACGCGAGCUGGGUUCAGAACGUCGUGAGACAGUUCGGUCCAUAUCCGGUGUAGGCGUUAGAAUAUUGAGAGGAGCCUUCUUUAGUACGAGAGGACCGAGAAGGACAUACCUCUGGUGUACCAGUUAUCGUGCCAACGGUAAACGCUGGGUAGCUAUGUAUGGAGUGGAUAACCGCUGAAAGCAUCUAAGUGGGAAGCCCACCUCAAGAUAAGUAUUCUCA
This 1243-nucleotide ribosomal RNA is filed under the name metagenome. RNAcentral describes it as "bacterial LSU rRNA". It matches the Rfam family "Bacterial large subunit ribosomal RNA", at positions 1564 to 2816 of the family's 2925-position model. The record is from RNAcentral.